GGCCGGUUUGGUGUUAGGUAGAACGUGAAGAUUUGACGAGAUGGGCAUAUGACACACAAAUAGAGAAUUGGGUGAAGUAGCACCUUUUUUUAAAGUAAUUUUUAAUUAAUAUUUUUUUUAAAAAAAUUAAUAAGGUCAAUGAAAAAUUGAUUAAAUAAUGACGUAAUCGCGAAGAUCUUAUCCUUAAUAGAUUAAAUUGUAUCUUCAUCACUUAUUAUAUAUAAAAAAUAAAGAAAAAUAAAAAAAAAUCAUAUAUGAAAGAAUUCUUGUUUAGAUUCAUAAGAAAGCGUGUAUAAGUGACUUUCUCCAGCAUUAAUUAAUUAAAAUGCGAAAGGACGAAGGAAGAAGACGGAAGACACUGUCGCAGAGGAAGAAGAGAGAGAGAGAGAGACAGAGACAGAGAGAGAGAGAUCGUUUGAGGUAUGCAUCUAUGGCCAUCUUUACGGAUCCGGGACUCGUUCAAGCAAGCCUACCUCGACAAGAUCGAGCGCAACCUCCACCGCAUGCAGCAGCACAAGCAGCGGCUGCGAGGGGAGCGAUCCAGUGAUCCCCUCCUUGCCAACAGCUCCUCCGAUGGCGACGCCGGGAGCAGCUCCUCCAAAGACCGGCAGCAGCACGAGACCCUUUCGCCUCUGCGCUUCUGCAGCGACAUCCUAUUCGUUCUGUCCUGCUGUUGCUGCUGCUUCUGCUGUGGAGCUUGCAUCGACGAGAAGGAGAACCAAACUCCACAUUGAGAAGAGCAUUCAUUCAAGGAGUUUGUAAGGUAUCUAAGAAGUCGGAUGCCCGCUUUGGACUUCUAUGCUUUACGCAGUCGAUGCAAUGCUAUACUCGUUUAUAGUUUUGUAGAAUGAUUAAUACUCAGAAGUUUCCUAUUUUUCCUUGUAGUUUUAGAUAAAAUAUUGUUGUUGAUAAUUGUGCUUUUUUUUCUGCUUGGUAGAGUUCGUGUUUAUUGGGCAUGAAUUGACUAAUAUUUUUUCUUUAAUUUUCUUAAUGUUUAAGAAUUGAUUGGCUUCUUCA
Musa acuminata AAA Group (dessert banana) is the source of this 1017-nucleotide RNA transcript. RefSeq lists it as uncharacterized. The transcript has 2 exons. The record is from RefSeq and is a predicted model, not a curated record. Lineage: Eukaryota; Viridiplantae; Streptophyta; Magnoliopsida; Zingiberales; Musaceae.